This 497-nucleotide ribosomal RNA is filed under the name uncultured bacterium. RNAcentral describes it as "partial 16S ribosomal RNA". It matches the Rfam family "Bacterial small subunit ribosomal RNA", at positions 28 to 507 of the family's 1533-position model. The record is from RNAcentral.
GAUGAACGCUGGCGGCGUGCCUAAUACAUGCAAGUCGAGCGAACAGACGAGGAGCUUGCUCCUCUGACGUUAGCGGCUGACGUGUGAGUAACACGUGGAUAACCUACCUAUAAUACUGGUAUAUCUUCGGGAAACCGUAUCUAAUACCGGAUAAUAUAUUGAACCGCAUGGUUCAAUAGUGAAAUACGGUUUUUCUGUCACUUAUAGAUGUAUCCGCGCCGCAUUAGCUAGUUGGUAAGGUAACGGCUUACCAAGGCAACGAUGCGUAGCCGACCUGAGAGGGUGAUCGGCAACACUGGAACGGAGACACGGACAAGAAUCCUACGGGAGGCAGCAGUAGGGAAUCUUCCGCAAUGGGCGAAAGCAUGACGGAGCAACGCCGCGUGAGUGAUGAAGGUAUUCGGAUCGUAAAACUCUGUUAUUAGGGAAGAAAAAAUGUGUAAGUAAAUAUGCACGUAUUGACGGUACCUAAUCAGAAAGCAACGGCUAACUACGUG